This 436-nucleotide ribosomal RNA is filed under the name uncultured bacterium. Its description in RNAcentral is "bacterial SSU rRNA". It matches the Rfam family "Bacterial small subunit ribosomal RNA", at positions 343 to 796 of the family's 1533-position model. The record is from RNAcentral.
UGGAGGCAGCAGUGAGGAAUCUUGCACAAUGGAGGCAACUCUGAUGCAGCGACGCCGCGUGAGCGAUGAAGCCCUUCGGGGUGUAAAGCUCUUUCGACGGGAACGAUAAUGACGGUACCCGGAGAAGAAGCUGCGGCUAACUACGUGCCAGCAGCCGCGGUAAUACGUAGGCAGCAAGCGUUGUUCGGAAUUACUGGGCGUAAAGAGUGUGUAGGCGGUGCUCUAAGUUCGUUGUGAAAUCUCCCGGCUUAACUGGGAGGGUGCGGCGGAAACUGGAGUGCUCGAGCGCGGGAGAGGAAAGCGGAAUUCCUGGUGUAGCGGUGAAAUGCGUAGAUAUCAGGAGGAACACCUGUGGUGUAGACAGCUUUCUGGACCGUAGCUGACGCUGAGACACGAAAGCGUGGGUAGCAAACAGGAUUAGAUACCCUUGUAGUCG